RNAcentral lists this ribosomal RNA (744 nucleotides) under uncultured bacterium. RNAcentral describes it as "bacterial SSU rRNA". It matches the Rfam family "Bacterial small subunit ribosomal RNA", at positions 8 to 796 of the family's 1533-position model. The record is from RNAcentral.
AGAGUUUGAUCAUGGCUCAGAACGAACGCUGGCGGCAGGCUUAACACAUGCAAGUCGAACGCGUGUAGCAAUACACGAGUGGCGCACGGGUGAGUAACGCGUGGAUAUCUGCCUUUUGGUUCGGAAUAACCCCGGGAAACUGGGGCUAAUACCGGAUGGUUCCUACGGGAUAAAGAUUUAUCGCCAAAAGAUGAGUCCGCGUACGAUUAGCUAGUUGGUGAGGUAAUGGCUCACCAAGGCGACGAUCGUUAGCUGGUCUGAGAGGACGAUCAGCCACACUGGGACUGAGACACGGCCCAGACUCCUACGGGAGGCAGCAGUGGGGAAUAUUGGACAAUGGGGGCAACCCUGAUCCAGCCAUGCCGCGUGAGUGAUGAAGGCCUUCGGGUUGUAAAGCUCUUUUGGCGGGGACGAUGAUGACGGUACCCGCAGAAUAAGCCCCGGCUAACUUCGUGCCAGCAGCCGCGGUAAGACGAAGGGGGCUAGCGUUGUUCGGAAUUACUGGGCGUAAAGCGAGUGUAGGUGGUCGUCAUAGUCAGGUGUGAAAGCCUUGAGCUCAACUCAAGAAAUGCACUUGAUACUGGGCGACUAGAGGACCGGAGAGGAUAGUGGAAUUCCCAGUGUAGUGGUGAAAUACGUAGAGAUUGGGAAGAACACCAGUGGCGAAGGCGGCUAUCUGGACGGUUUCUGACACUAAGACUCGAAAGCGUGGGGAGCAAACAGGAUUAGAUACCCUAGUAGUCC